UUCUGCAAAGACUUGCUAGAGGCUGUGGACAUUCUGGAGAAGGAAACGCAGAGUGUUCCAAAGAGAUUACAGAUGAAAACCCUCACCUGAAAAGCUUAGAUAAGGGGCUGGUACUGACCGAGGUGCAGAUCCAGAAGGUGUUCACAAGCAUGGCUUGCUCAAGCUGGACCCCAUUGGAGCCAAGUUCGACUCCUAUGAACAUGAGGCACUGUUCCACACACCAGUAGAGGGCGAGGAGCCAGCACGGUGGUGCUGGUUAGCAAGGUGGGUUACAAGCUGCAGGGGCACACCCUCAGGCCUGCCCUGGUGGGGUGGUGAAGGAAGCAUAACUGCCUACUUCAGGGUCUUUCGCUUUUAAGUCACUUGCUGUAACUCUUGAAAGGCGGUCUAUCUUUUCUCCUCUGAGAGUCCAGCCUUGAUGGAAAGGUUAAAUGGCUGCAAAGAAUCAAGCUGGGUACACAGUUGCUUCUAGGAACUCUGGUCUGGGAGUACCACACGUUUAGUAGCUCCAUAUACUUCCAAAAGAGGGCAGAUGGGACAUUUGGAGUAUCACGAAUAACACUGUAUCUGCUUUAAACUCAUGAUUGCAAAGUACUUUAAACAAAAGUUUUUCAGGAACUGUCUGGCUGCCUGGCCACCCAUCUGUGCCAACGUCUGCAGCUCACUGCAGCACUGAGUCCUGGCACCUUUGGCCAUUGCUGGGUUCACUCUGAGAAGAAAAGGCCAGAGGGGAAACAUGUUUCUUGCUUAAAAAAAAAAAAAAAAAAAAAGGAUGCCUACCUUGAGAACAUACAAGUUCAUUUAUAGCUAGCAUCUAGAUGUC
RNAcentral lists this long non-coding RNA (823 nucleotides) under Marmota monax (woodchuck). The record is from RNAcentral. Lineage: Eukaryota; Metazoa; Chordata; Mammalia; Rodentia; Sciuridae.